RNAcentral lists this ribosomal RNA (465 nucleotides) under Vreelandella stevensii. Its description in RNAcentral is "partial 16S ribosomal RNA". It matches the Rfam family "Bacterial small subunit ribosomal RNA", at positions 338 to 795 of the family's 1533-position model. The record is from RNAcentral. Lineage: Bacteria; Pseudomonadati; Pseudomonadota; Gammaproteobacteria; Oceanospirillales; Halomonadaceae.
CCUACGGGUGGCUGCAGUGGGGAAUAUUGGACAAUGGGCGAAAGCCUGAUCCAGCCAUGCCGCGUGUGUGAAGAAGGCCUUCGGGUUGUAAAGCACUUUCAGUGGGGAAGAAAGCCUUGGGGCUAAUACCCUCGAGGAAGGACAUCACCCACAGAAGAAGCACUGGCUAACUCCGUGCCAGCAGCCGCGGUAAUACGGAGGGUGCGGGCGUUAAUCGGAAUUACUGGGCGUAAAGCGCGCGUAGGCGGUCUGAUAAGCCGGUUGUGAAAGCCCCGGGCUCAACCUGGGAACGGCAUCCGGAACUGUCAGGCUAGAGUGCAGGAGAGGAAGGUAGAAUUCCCGGUGUAGCGGUGAAAUGCGUAGAGAUCGGGAGGAAUACCAGUGGCGAAGGCGGCCUUCUGGACUGACACUGACGCUGAGGUGCGAAAGCGUGGGUAGCAAACAGGAUUAGAUACCCGGGUAGUC